Molecule: non-coding RNA, 74 nt
Organism: Gemmatimonadetes bacterium 13_1_20CM_4_69_16
Lineage: Bacteria; Pseudomonadati; Gemmatimonadota
Source: Rfam
GGGCCUGUAGCUCAGGUGGUUAGAGCGCACGCCUGAUAAGCGUGAGGUCAGUGGUUCAACUCCACUCAGGCCCA